CUCAAGUCCAAGUUAGUGAGGACUCGGUGAACUGCCUAAACCAGGUUUUUUAUCUCUCUCCAACGACAUUGAGAUAUACCUUGGUGAGCCUGGAAUAAGUAAAUGCCAAUGCCGUGGAAGCUGAUAGGUGAAGGACAACCAUGAUCUCAUGUAGAAGUUUUUUACCUGACUUUGUUGCCAUAAUUAAAGUGAUGCCUCAAAGUGUGAGUGCCUCUCGAGUGAAAAUACUGCUGAAGAGUUAACAAUCUCUGAAAAUUAUCAGAUUAUAACUUAUCUCCCUCUGAGCUUCCACAUGCAUGGAAGAAAUACAUCUCAUAUUUUUUCUUUAGCUAAUAACACUGAAUUCUAGCUGCAAAAUAUUUAAAUAUGACAAUGAAAUAAGAUAUAGAUAGAGCUAUUUUUCCAUUAUGGGAGUCCUAUGGCUGCACAAAUAAAUGAGUUUGAUAAUAAAUGAGAAUUAUUUUU
Molecule: long non-coding RNA, 465 nt
Filed under: Struthio camelus australis
Lineage: Eukaryota; Metazoa; Chordata; Aves; Struthioniformes; Struthionidae
Description: lncRNA (ENSSCUG00000016690.1)
Source: RNAcentral